CUGAGUACCGGGUCUCUCAGGCCCUUACUCCCACCCUUUGUGUACCUUACCACAUCUUCAGUUGCCUUGGCGGGAUCUUCCCCCCUCGGACCCUCUAAAACCGGGUCCUUGGGCGGGUGCCCGCCAGGGGAACCCCCUAAAACUCUUUUGAACCGGGUCGUCUGAGAACAAACAUAAAUAAAUUA
This 185-nucleotide unclassified non-coding RNA is filed under the name uncultured fungus. RNAcentral describes it as "sequence contains ITS1, 5.8S rRNA gene". The record is from RNAcentral. Lineage: Eukaryota; Fungi.